CAGAAAUUCAGCAUUCAUGCAUCUAGAAGUGAGGAUGUCUGGUACAGCAUGUACUACUCAGGGAAAAGCUACUUCCAUAUGAAAGGAGGCUUCAGAAAAGCACGUGUAAUUUACCUAGCCAACGUAAAUGAGGAUGGGAAAGUGACUUACGUGCUGUUGGCCCUAGCCCCAGCUCCAGACCAUGAUCUGACCCCCAAUGACUAUAUGCAU
Chinchilla lanigera (long-tailed chinchilla) is the source of this 210-nucleotide long non-coding RNA. RefSeq lists it as uncharacterized. The record is from RefSeq and is a predicted model, not a curated record. Lineage: Eukaryota; Metazoa; Chordata; Mammalia; Rodentia; Chinchillidae. The transcript has 3 exons.